GCCGGGCGCAGUGGCUUGCGCCUGUAAUCCCAGCAAUGUGGGAGGCUGAGGCAGGUGGAUCACCUGAGGCUAGGAGUUCGAGACCAGCCUGGCCAAAAUGGUGAAAGCCUGUCUCUA
Unclassified non-coding RNA from Pongo abelii (Sumatran orangutan), 117 nucleotides. It matches the Rfam family "Metazoan signal recognition particle RNA". Rfam says of the family: The signal recognition particle (SRP) is a universally conserved ribonucleoprotein. It is involved in the co-translational targeting of proteins to membranes. The record is from Ensembl. NCBI's taxonomy places the organism in Eukaryota, Metazoa, Chordata, Mammalia, Primates, Hominidae.